GAUGAACGCUGACAGAAUGCUUAACACAUGCAAGUCUUUGGCGAAUCUGUGCUUGCACAGGCUAGCCAAGGCGGACGGGUGAGUAACGCGUAAAGAACUUGCCCUGCAGACAGGGAUAACAGACGGAAACGACUGAUAACACCUGAUACAGUUGCCGGCACGCAUGUGCCUGGCUAUGAAAAGAGAUGCUGCAGGAGAGCUUUGCGUCCUAUUAGCUUGUUGGUGAGGUGACGGCUCACCAAGGCGAUGAUAGGUAGCCGGCCUGAGAGGGUGAACGGCCACAAGGGGACUGAGAUACGGCCCUUACUCCUACGGGAGGCAGCAGUGGGGAAUAUUGGACAAUGGGGGCAACCCUGAUCCAGCAAUUCUGUGUGCACGAAGAAGGUUUUCGGAUUGUAAAGUGCUUUCAGCAGGGAAGAAGAAAGUGACGGUACCUGCAGAAGAAGCGACGGCUAAAUACGUG
This 463-nucleotide ribosomal RNA is filed under the name uncultured bacterium. Its description in RNAcentral is "partial 16S ribosomal RNA". It matches the Rfam family "Bacterial small subunit ribosomal RNA", at positions 28 to 507 of the family's 1533-position model. The record is from RNAcentral.